Molecule: ribosomal RNA, 253 nt
Filed under: uncultured bacterium
Lineage: Bacteria
Description: partial 16S ribosomal RNA
Rfam family: Bacterial small subunit ribosomal RNA
Source: RNAcentral
UACGAAGGGGGCUAGCGUUGCUCGGAAUCACUGGGCGUAAAGGGUGCGUAGGCGGGUCUUUAAGUCAGGGGUGAAAUCCUGGAGCUCAACUCCAGAACUGCCUUUGAUACUGAGGAUCUUGAGUUCGGGAGAGGUGAGUGGAACUGCGAGUGUAGAGGUGAAAUUCGUAGAUAUUCGCAAGAACACCAGUGGCGAAGGCGGCUCACUGGCCCGAUACUGACGCUGAGGCACGAAAGCGUGAGGAGCAAACAGG